Long non-coding RNA from Cyanistes caeruleus (blue tit), 1748 nucleotides. The record is from Ensembl. Lineage: Eukaryota; Metazoa; Chordata; Aves; Passeriformes; Paridae.
UUUAGAACUGGCCAUGGCCUAUACAUGUCAUUGUCAGGCUUUUCACUGCUGCAUGUUUUUCACUAGGUUGGUGUACGAUUGGAGAAUGCUGAAACUCUUAUAGAGAGGGGUUUUGGGCCGAAAUCUUCUACUUUCAGUGACUAUUUUUUUGGAAACACUAACGAAGGAAACCACAAGGCAGAAACCCCAGUGGAAACAGUAGAGAAAGUCAAGCAGAGGAACCCAACAUUGAAGCGAUACAGCCCCACUGAUCAUCUUGUGAGCAAGUCUGGCAAGCCAAAGCUGAGAAAAACUAACCAAAUUUGUCUUGGUAGAAAAUACAGUAAGAUGAAUGAGUUAGUCAAAAAGUUCACUGAGAGAACAGUAAGAAAGAAGGCGCUGAAAUGUGAGCUAAGCAUGAAAAUCUUUGGAAAUGAACUUAGCUUCUUAGAUUGUGAAGAUUUAAGAAAACAUAUGAAACGUUAUUCCUUAAAUCUGGCUGAGUUGGCUGUCAAACUUCUGAAGGGGCAGGAGAUUCAGUUUAAUAAAAGGAUGAGUUUGGCCACUGAAGAACUGCAGUUUCCAGCAAUUUCAGGCUUUCCUAUUCAACUGGCAAUCAAUGCCUCAGCAGCAAUCAACAUAAAAAUCAAAGGGAAUGCAGAUUUCAAACAGCAGUCCAAUUUCUUUCUAAAUGGAUAUUUCAAGCCAAGUGCAUUUGUCCAGCUUUCUGUCCAAAUGGGAAUUGUGGGGACUCUGGGACAAGCUGGCCUAAAGUGGUUAACAGGAAUAAGAACAUCUACUAGUCUUGAUGGGGGAAUCCAGGUGAAGAAAGGGAAAGAGCUCAAAGUUUUCUUGAACACUCCAGAAGAAUCUAUGGAGAUAAUUAAUUUCAGCUCUAAACUCUACUUCAAAAUGGUGGAUGAGACAGAAGAUAUAGAUGUCUUCCAAGAUCACACAGAAACCAGAUCUUGCACUAGGGAGGAAGUGUCUGAGAUUAUUGGCUGGCAGCUGUGUUCUGAAAUGUCCUAUCCUGACCCGGCCAGUGGUUUGGUUUUCCCCCUCACUGGACCUUUGAGAGUGGCUGUGACAUUAACUAAGCAAGACAGAGGCCUGCAGCAGUACGUGGUGGAAGCUGCCUAUGACUGUAUAGCUCAGGAGAAUUCAUGGAUCCCAAGUGAAGCUGUCUUUCACUUCUUUGUUGGGACUCCAAAGUCAGACUUGAAAAGAGAUAUUGGUGUUGACAUAAGUUUUAGUGUCCCACAGAAGAAAUUCAGAAUCCAAUUUAUACAACCUAAGAAAAAAAUUGAGAUGGAUGGUAGGUUUUUCAACUAAGAGUCUGAUCACCAGCUAAUAUCAGUUUGGAGAACUUCAUUACAAUUAACUGAGAAAUAUCAGUAUAUUUCACUCACUAAUCUAAUACUGAGACUGCAUUAAUAUGUGAUAACUGUUCAUUUUACUGCUUUAGGUAGCACUCAUUCCCAAUGGAGUUUGCAUCUUGGUUAACACUAUAUUUUUGCACAGUCAGAAGUUCAGUACCUGGUUCAUAAAGUCGUAUUAGAGAAGAAAACUGUUACUGGGAUUGAUGAAAUGAGGGCUAAAGAACAUGGUGGAUUGUUCUGACAUCUUUUACAUAUGUUGAACUUGCCGUAUUGGUCCAAUUUGCUGUGUUCUGUUAGUUAUGAGAUGAAGUUAUGUGUUGCUAAAUCAAUGAAGUACUGACUAUGAUAGUGCCAUGCAUUGUAAUAAAAAAUAACAAUCACAGUGUAACA